This is an RNA transcript of Ipomoea nil (Japanese morning glory), 2531 nucleotides long. It is a transcript of the gene named ABC transporter D family member 2, chloroplastic, with no coding region annotated. The transcript is spliced from 11 exons. Lineage: Eukaryota; Viridiplantae; Streptophyta; Magnoliopsida; Solanales; Convolvulaceae. The record is from RefSeq and is a predicted model, not a curated record.
AUAAGGUAAUUUCUCUUAUGGCAGUCCAAAACCUCAUCCAACUUAUACUACAGCUUCCACACCUUAUCCAUUAGAAAUGUCUUGUGACUUAAUAAUUCCUCCCUCUUAUCUGCACUCUUCUUCUUCUUCCUCCUUUCUCUGUAAGCAACGGCUACAGCUUUUUAAUGCGUUUCCUUUCAAGCUCAGAGUACCCGUUUCGACAAGGCCUCUGAUUGUUCAAGCCGAGUCCAGAACCAGAGAGGAGGACCGGAUUGCGACCCAGUCUCGUAUCCCCAACAAGAAUCAAGAUGCUGAACGGAAGGGUCAGGAUCUUCAAACACUUGCCCGGAGGUUCUGGAAAGUUGCUGCUCCCUAUUGGUCCUCAGACGAUAAAGUUCAAGCUAGGUUGCAGCUGGCUGCAGUCUUUGCCCUUACUUUAGGGACUACUGGUAUCAGUGUCGGUUUCAAUUUCCUUGGUCGUGAUUUCUAUAAUGCCCUUGCCAACAAAGAUCAAGAACAGUUCACCAAGCAACUAUUGUACUACCUUGCUAGUUUCGCUGGUGGUAUUCCGGUUUUUGUGUUGAGAGACUAUGCACGUGAAACACUAGCAUUAAGAUGGAGAUCUUGGAUGACAAGCUAUUACAUGGAGCGCUAUUUGAGGAAUCAGACUUUUUACAAAAUACAAUCACAAUCAAUAAUUGACAACCCUGAUCAGCGAAUUGUUGAUGAUUUGAGUUCCUUUACAGGAACAGCUCUUGCAUUUUCUUUGACACUUUUCAAUGCUGCAGUAGACUUGAUAUCUUUUAGCAAUAUCUUGUAUGGCAUCUAUCCACCGCUUUUUCUCGUGCUUCUUGCAUAUUCUAUUGGUGGAACAGCUAUUAGUGUAUUUCUUGGAAGGGGAUUAGUGACCCUCAACUUCAUGCAAGAGAAAAAAGAAGCAGAUUUCCGCUAUGGGCUAGUGCGCAUUAGGGAGAAUGCUGAAUCAAUUGCAUUUUAUGGUGGUGAGGAAAAUGAGAUGCAACUAUUGCUACAACGUUUCAAAAGUGCUUAUGAAAACCUCACGAAAUUAUUGAUAUCUUCCAGGAAUUUGGAGUUUUUCACAAAUGGUUACCGCUAUCUGAUUCAAAUUCUUCCUGCUGCAGUUGUCGCACCGAUGUAUUUCUCUGGGAAAAUUGAAUUUGGGGUCAUAAAUCAAUCUGUGUCUGCAUUUAACCAUAUUCUUGGGGAUUUCUCCUUGAUUGUUUAUCAAUUUCAGGCUAUUAGUGCAUUUUCAGCCGUCAUUGACCGACUAGGUGAAUUUGAUGACAUUUUGGAUAGCAGCACCAGAAAAAAUAAUGAGUCCACAGAAGAGAUAAAAUUGAAGUAUUGCUAUCUAAGCAGUUCAACUGACCUGCAUUCAAAUGGAUCCAUUUCAUCCAGAAAAUGUGUGAAGGUAUUGCGUAUUGAGCACUUGACCCUACAGACACCAAUGAGUAAAGAACCUCUUAUAAAUGGCUUGUCAUUGGAGGUUUUUGAAAAGGAUCAUUUGCUGGUUACAGGACCAAGUGGGAGUGGCAAAACUUCAUUAUUGAGAGCUAUAGCUGGUCUUUGGAACACUGGAAAGGGAACUAUAACAUUCUAUGCCAAACAUAAAAGGGAGUUACCUCUUUCUUCAGAUAUUGUUUCUUGUGAAGUCAUUUCAACAGAUGAGAUAAAUGUGGACAGUACUGUGCAUAGAGAGAAGAAUCGUGGAGGUGUAUUUUUCCUUCCACAAAGGCCAUAUAUGGUUUUGGGAACACUUCGUCAACAGUUGUUAUAUCCAACUUGGACUGAAGAUUCGGAUUUUAUGGCGAAUCUCACUGAACAAAGUCAACAAACUGAUUCUCCAUCAUUCUUGGCGCGUUCUCCUAAAGCACAGUAUGCGGAUGUAGAUUCUAAAAAGCCCACAACGGAUGAUCUAAUCCAAGUUCUAAAGGAUGUUCGGCUUGGGUAUUUAUUAUCUCGUUUUGAUGGUCUAGAUUCUAUGCAUGAAUGGUCAAGUGUUCUUUCCCUAGGAGAGCAACAACGUCUUGCAUUUGCAAGACUAUUAUUGUCAAAGUCCUACUUGGUUCUACUGGAUGAAUCUACGAGUGCUUUAGAUGAAGCCAAUGAGGAGCAUUUGUAUCAGCUAAUUCAAGCUGCAGGGAUCACAUAUAUAAGCAUUGGUCACCGUUCAACCCUCUAUAAAUACCAUAAGAAGGUGUUGCAAAUAUCGUCGACUGCUGAUCCAACGAGUACAAACCCAAAUUGGUGCAUUGAUUUCAUUCCAUAGGACAACACUCCUUGUUAUAAUAUAGCUAAGCUGAAGAAAUCUUGUAAAUAGGAGCAAUUUUACAAGUGAUUUACAAUAUAAUUUGUACAGGGUUCGGCUCAGCAUCUAUCCGGAAAGUAUUACGAGUUUAUGGGUACUAUGAUGCUCAGUAAUUUUCUUUAAUUUUAUUUUGCAUGUGUAGUGUAAUUUAUUGUACCUGUAAGGACUGUCAUCCCAAGUUCAAACUAUCGUAGCAAAUGAGAUAUUUUUAGUUUUGAAAGCA